Molecule: ribosomal RNA, 448 nt
Filed under: uncultured prokaryote
Description: bacterial SSU rRNA
Rfam family: Bacterial small subunit ribosomal RNA
Source: RNAcentral
UGGGGAAUUUUCCGCAAUGGGGGCAACCCUGACGGAGCAACGCCGUGUGAGCGAGGAAGGCCUUAGGGUCGUAAAGCUCUGUUGUUGGGGACGAAGGGCGAAGGGUUAAUAGCCCCUAGCCUGACGGUACCCUUCGAGGAAGCACCGGCUAACUACGUGCCAGCAGCCGCGGUAAUACGUAGGGUGCGAGCGUUGUCCGGAAUUAUUGGGCGUAAAGAGCGUGUAGGCGGCCUGGUAAGUCUGCCGUGAAAACCUGGGGCUCAACCCUGGGCGUGGGGUGGAUACUGCUAGGCUAGAGGAUGGUAGAGGCGAGUGGAAUUCCCGGUGUAGCGGUGAAAUGCGCAGAUAUCGGGAGGAACACCAGUAGCGAAGGCGGCUCGCUGGGCCAUUCCUGACGCUGAGACGCGAAAGCGUGGGGAGCAAACAGGAUUAGAUACCCCUGUAGUCC